This is a long non-coding RNA of Notolabrus celidotus (New Zealand spotty), 1158 nucleotides long. RefSeq lists it as uncharacterized. NCBI's taxonomy places the organism in Eukaryota, Metazoa, Chordata, Actinopteri, Labriformes, Labridae. The transcript is spliced from 3 exons. The record is from RefSeq and is a predicted model, not a curated record.
UUCCUUGCUUGUCUUGUAUGAUCACUACGCCUUCUCUUGAGUUCUCAGUGGUUUCCUGCCUUGUGAUUGACUUUUUUGCUCUCCGUGGUCCCCUUGUGUUUUUGUUUGGAUCGAUUUGGAUUAAAUAUGUACAUUUUUUAGAUGUGAAGCUGACACGCCUUUCUAAACAGAGUCCUCAAUGGUUGAUUGUGUGGACUCCUGUGAAGCUGCUCCUCUGCCCUCCUCUCCUUACGUCCACCAAACUGCUGCUCCUGCUACGGCCCAUUUGCAGAGGCCAAAAAGAGAUGACCCCUACCUGCAGCUCCAGCUUUUGUUAACUCGAAGCCACACUGCAGCUCAUCAAGCAGACCACACACGGAGAGAGGAGGAAGCACAGCGCUGAAAAAGAAACAGAGAGGAGAGAGAGGCAGAGGAGAGAGGAGUUAACGCUCUUGUUAUCACAGAGGGUGAAAAAUGAAAUGGUGAGACCUUUUUUUCCACCAUAAAAACUCAUAAUGUAUGUCCACCACCUCCCCACAGUGUCACACGUGUUAUCCUUCGCAUCUCUCAUCCUUGGUGCCGCACUCUCUCUCACAAUGUUGAUGUUAAAGUGAGUUUGGUUUAUUUUCUUUUUAUAUGGAGUUUCCAUCAUGCUCCACUCCCUCUGUGGUUCCAGAGCGGCUGGCCAAAUGGCAAUAAAAUGCUCAAAGGACAUCAGAGAGCGAAAGGAGACUUAUUUGUUAGCCUAACAAAAUCCCCAGUAGUUACAUCGGCAGUGAACUUGUGAGAAUAAAGGGGGAAGGCUCUGCAUCAGUGCCAUUGUAAGAGGCAAGACAAGUGGUCCAACAGUCAGUCUACUAUUCUUUGACAACUAGAUUCAGUCAGUUUUAUUUAUGUUGUCGGGCAGCUAUUUUUAUGUUUAAGCUCCAAUCAAAGUGCUGUAAAGAUGCAAAGUACAAAAACUGAGUAAACACUUUUAAAACCAAGAACAUAACUCAAGUAAAAGCAGCUUUGCAAACAUAAAAAAAGCAUGCUAAGUCAUCAUAAAACAAGUGCAUGUAACUGCUGUGUUAGCUUAAAUGAUGGCUUUGAAGUGUGAGUGGAAUGACUCAGUCUGUGUGGAGAUUUUCCUGCUGUCGCUUCCACUUGGAUGUGAAGUGAAUAAAAACUGAAAGCAGA